UACGAAGGGGGCUAGCGUUGCUCGGAAUGACUGGGCGUAAAGGGCGCGUAGGCGGAGGUGACAGUCAGACGUGAAAUUCCUGGGCUCAACCUGGGGACUGCGUUUGAGACGUUACAUCUAGAGUGAGGAAGAGGGUUGUGGAAUUCCCAGUGUAGAGGUGAAAUUCGUAGAUAUUGGGAAGAACACCGGUGGCGAAGGCGGCAACCUGGUCCUUUACUGACGCUGAGGCGCGAAAGCGUGGGGAGCAAACAGG
This 253-nucleotide ribosomal RNA is filed under the name uncultured bacterium. Its description in RNAcentral is "partial 16S ribosomal RNA". It matches the Rfam family "Bacterial small subunit ribosomal RNA", at positions 524 to 776 of the family's 1533-position model. The record is from RNAcentral.